CACUCCUCCUAUUUUUGUGUCAUCUGCAAAUUUAACAAGUUUGCUUACUAUACCAGAAUCUAAAUCAUUAACCCUUUGCGGUCCAUUUAUUCAGCACGUCAGGUCCAAUUUAUUUUCACACGCGCAGUUAAAUUUAGACGUGCUGUUUAAAAGUAUUUUUUUUUCACAGUCAAA
Acipenser ruthenus (sterlet) is the source of this 174-nucleotide long non-coding RNA. RefSeq lists it as uncharacterized. The transcript is spliced from 2 exons. NCBI's taxonomy places the organism in Eukaryota, Metazoa, Chordata, Actinopteri, Acipenseriformes, Acipenseridae. The record is from RefSeq and is a predicted model, not a curated record.